This 491-nucleotide ribosomal RNA is filed under the name Fusarium oxysporum. RNAcentral describes it as "eukaryotic LSU rRNA". The stretch from base 135 to 288 matches the Rfam family "5.8S ribosomal RNA". The record is from RNAcentral. Lineage: Eukaryota; Fungi; Ascomycota; Sordariomycetes; Hypocreales; Nectriaceae.
CCCAAACCCCUGUGAACAUACCACUUGUUGCCUCGGCGGAUCAGCCCGCUCCCGGUAAAACGGGACGGCCCGCCAGAGGACCCCUAAACUCUGUUUCUAUAUGUAACUUCUGAGUAAAACCAUAAAUAAAUCAAAACUUUCAACAACGGAUCUCUUGGUUCUGGCAUCGAUGAAGAACGCAGCAAAAUGCGAUAAGUAAUGUGAAUUGCAGAAUUCAGUGAAUCAUCGAAUCUUUGAACGCACAUUGCGCCCGCCAGUAUUCUGGCGGGCAUGCCUGUUCGAGCGUCAUUUCAACCCUCAAGCACAGCUUGGUGUUGGGACUCGCGUUAAUUCGCGUUCCUCAAAUUGAUUGGCGGUCACGUCGAGCUUCCAUAGCGUAGUAGUAAAACCCUCGUUACUGGUAAUCGUCGCGGCCACGCCGUUAAACCCCAACUUCUGAAUGUUGACCUCGGAUCAGGUAGGAAUACCCGCUGAACUUAAGCAUAUCAAUA